Molecule: non-coding RNA, 101 nt
Organism: Euryarchaeota archaeon RBG_16_62_10
Lineage: Archaea; Methanobacteriati; Methanobacteriota
Source: Rfam
CAGCACGGACGGCAAGAUGCCUGGGGACCAGGUGAUGUUCGAGAAGACGAUGACCGGCCUCACUUCGGUUCUUGCGGGCGCGGACGCCAUCUUCGGCCCUG